CCAGGACUCGGAGGGGGCAAGGCAGGGGCCAGCUUGGGGUCCAGGUUAUCACUCCUGGGAUAGGAGGCAAGCACGGACUUCCUCAGCCACUGAACGCCUUCUCCCCCCCCCCCCGACCCUCCUUUUCAUUCACAGGACCGGCCUUGGCUGAAUGCUGCUUCAGAAUGGUCCCCCCCGGAUCCCUUCCCAAGUGGGAUCCUUGUGAAACGGGCCAGGACACUCAGGGGGCUCCUCCUCGCGGGACCCUCACCAUCCCGAUUCCAUGAGGCCCUUAAGGAGAGCGAUGGCCACACAAGUUGAACUCGGCUCUGCCCUGACCUCGCUGGCCGGCAUAAGUGAACCGAGGACCGAGGCCGCCUUCCGGCACUCCUUUAUCGGCUCGCUGUCUGACGCCAGCCGGAAGCCUGGGGAGGGCCCCCGUGCUCUGGCCCCACUCACCCCGGAGGGCAGGGGGCAUCCAGUGGGCCCUGCCACCAUGCCCGCCACCGUGCCCAGGCCCCCGUGGGCCCCCAAGCCCUUCUCCCGGGAGGCGUCUUCCGACACCUUUGCUACGGUGAAGCCGCCUGUCCCGGCACUCAAGCCCAGCAGUGCUACGCCAAAACCUCCCGCCCCCUUGGCCCAGACCUUUGAAGACGCUGCCAAGGGGCUGCCUGGAAACGUCCCUCCGCUGCUGGAUCAGAAACCGAUGGACAGUAGGAGCCCCGUGGAGCCGGCCGCCCCCCUGCCCUUCUACCCGGGUGCUCAGGCCAACACCCUCAUCCUCUUUGAAAGCAGGCGGCCUGCGAAGGGGAGGGGCGAAGAGGGAGGCUCCAAGGCCCAGGAGGGGCAGCUGCUGCGCUCCCAUUCAGAGAAGUGGCCCCCAAGGCAGCCCUCACUCUCCACGGACCCCAGGCCAGUCUCCUGGGCCCCUCACUGGAAGGAGGCCUUUGCGGGGGGGCCCAAGGGCUCGGCCGGCAGCCUUGAGCCACAGCAGAGUCCAACUCCGGCCACUGAGACCCACUCCCAGGCGGGAGGGGGACCCGCCGCCUCGGCUGGCUUUCGGGAAUCCUGGCAGGAACCAACACAACCAGCUCCUCCCCAGGCAGCUUCUGGCCCAGGGAGCCCAAAGCCGAGGCCGCUCCCCCCGGACCUCACGAGUAGGUUUGAAGCCUGGCAGAAGCAGCCCUGCCUGGCUGAGAGCAAGGAGAAGAGCUUUCCAGCCGCCGGCGACGGGGCUCCGGAGGCCACAGGGGCGAGGAGCGCCGCUGCCGGCCUAAGUGGGGCUGCCCCAUCUGGGCCCAGGGCCAAAAGUGCCGGCAGCCAAAGCUGUUUGCCCUCUGUUGGGGGAGCAGCUCCCCCAGGCCAGACUGUCCCGGAGGACGUGGGGCAAAAGUGCGCACAGGAGGAGGGAAGCCAGGGGAAGUCCAGCAUGGGGCAGCCCAGGGCCGGCCAAGGCCGGCCUCUGUGGGAGACGGGGGAGGUCACUGCCCAGGAGGCUGGCUUCAGGAAGGCCGACCUGCCAGACGCCUCGGACGGCUGCCCUAAAAAGGCCGCCCCGCUCCUGGACCCCUCAGCAAAGCCUCGGGCUGCCCCCGAGAGCCAGUCCCUCCACUGCAGCCCCGGAAAGGAGAUCCGGAUCCUGAACAUCCAGCAGAGGAUUCAAGUGCUGACGGCAGAGAACGCGGCUUUCAAGGCAGGAGGCCUGCGCUGCCACUCCUUCCGCUCCCGGCCUCUUUCCGCAGAUUUGACGAAGAUGUUUUCUGGCCCCGUGACUGCAGGGGAGCAGAAGCCCAAGAGGCCGCCUGAAUGGUCCAGGAAGCCUGCUGGUGAAACGCAAGAGGCUCUGGAGGUGAGGGGGGCAGGGGAACCCAAACUCCAUUUUCCCCCUCAGAGGGAAACCUACAUUAGACGCGGCCUGAAU
This 1900-nucleotide long non-coding RNA is filed under the name Pseudonaja textilis. Its description in RNAcentral is "lncRNA (ENSPTXG00000019125.1)". The record is from RNAcentral. Lineage: Eukaryota; Metazoa; Chordata; Lepidosauria; Squamata; Elapidae.